GAGUUUGAUCGUGGCUCAGAUUGAACGCUGGCGGCAUGCCUUACACAUGCAAGUCGAACGGCAGCAUGAUCUAGCUUGCUAGAUUGAUGGCGAGUGGCGAACGGGUGAGUAAUACAUCGGAACGUGCCCUGUAGUGGGGGAUAACUAGUCGAAAGAUUAGCUAAUACCGCAUACGACCUGAGGGUGAAAGUGGGGGACCGCAAGGCCUCAUGCUAUAGGAGCGGCCGAUGUCUGAUUAGCUAGUUGGUGGGGUAAAGGCCCACCAAGGCGACGAUCAGUAGCUGGUCUGAGAGGACGAUCAGCCACACUGGGACUGAGACACGGCCCAGACUCCUACGGGAGGCAGCAGUGGGGAAUUUUGGACAAUGGGCGAAAGCCUGAUCCAGCAAUGCCGCGUGUGUGAAGAAGGCCUUCGGUU
Molecule: ribosomal RNA, 418 nt
Filed under: uncultured microorganism
Description: bacterial SSU rRNA
Rfam family: Bacterial small subunit ribosomal RNA
Source: RNAcentral